This is a ribosomal RNA of 434 nucleotides. It matches the Rfam family "Bacterial small subunit ribosomal RNA", at positions 341 to 792 of the family's 1533-position model.
ACGGGAGGCAGCAGUGGGGAAUAUUGGGCAAUGGGCGAAAGCCUGACCCAGCGACGCCGCGUGAGCGAAGAAGGUCUUCGGAUUGUAAAGCUCUGUGUACAGGAACGAUAAUGACGGUACCUGUAUAGAAAGCCACGGCUAACUACGUGCCAGCAGCCGCGGUAAUACGUAGGUGGCAAGCGUUAUCCGGAUUUACUGGGUGUAAAGGGCGCGUAGGCGGGGAUGCAAGUCAGAUGUGAAAUCCAUGGGCUUAACUCAUGAACUGCAUUUGAAACUGUAUCUCUUGAGUGUCGGAGAGGUAGAUGGAAUUCCUAGUGUAGCGGUGAAAUGCGUAGAUAUUAGGAGGAACACCAGUGGCGAAGGCGAUCUACUGGACGAUAACUGACGCUGAGGCGCGAAAGCGUGGGGAGCAAACAGGAUUAGAUACCCUGGUA